GACAGAGGGUGCAAACGUUGUUCGGAAUUACUGGGCGUAAAGCGCGUGUAGGCGGUCGUGCAAGUCGGGUGUGAAAGCCCUGGGCUCAACCCAGGAAGUGCACUCGAAACUGCUCGACUUGAGUCUCGGAGAGGGAAGCGGAAUUCUGGGUGUAGAGGUGAAAUUCGUAGAUAUCCAGAGGAACACCGGUGGCGAAGGCG
This 200-nucleotide ribosomal RNA is filed under the name uncultured bacterium. RNAcentral's name for it is "partial 16S ribosomal RNA". It matches the Rfam family "Bacterial small subunit ribosomal RNA", at positions 524 to 723 of the family's 1533-position model. The record is from RNAcentral.